This 252-nucleotide ribosomal RNA is filed under the name uncultured bacterium. RNAcentral describes it as "partial 16S ribosomal RNA". It matches the Rfam family "Bacterial small subunit ribosomal RNA", at positions 524 to 776 of the family's 1533-position model. The record is from RNAcentral.
UACGUAGGGUGCGAGCGUUAAUCGGAAUUACUGGGCGUAAAGCGUGCGUAGGCGGUUCGUUAAGUCAGCUGUGAAAGCCCCGGGCUCAACCUGGGAACUGCGGUUGAAACUGGCGAACUAGAAUCUGGCAGAGGGGGGUGGAAUCCACGUGUAGCAGUGAAAUGCGUAGAGAUGUGGAGGAACACCGAUGGCGAAGGCAGCCCCCUGGGCUGAGAUUGACGCUCAGGCACGAAAGCGUGGGGAGCAAACAGG